Non-coding RNA from Equus caballus (horse), 662 nucleotides. NCBI's taxonomy places the organism in Eukaryota, Metazoa, Chordata, Mammalia, Perissodactyla, Equidae. The record is from RefSeq and is a predicted model, not a curated record.
CCCACGCCGGGGGCCGAGCCCGCGCGCCGCGCGCCCUGUGGGCGCCCCACCCGGGAGGCCGCCACGCUGCCCGCUUCGGCUGGGUUCCGGAGAAGUGCGAGUCCUUCGUCCUGCAAAUGUGUACUGAGCGCCCAGCGUGUGCCACGCACCAUGCUCCGCACCGGGAAAUCGGAGACCAAAAUAGGUUUUAAAAAACGCCUGCCCUCGUGGAACUUACAUUCUGGCGGAGAAGAUAGACAAUAAAUAUAAAUUUUCAACCGAAGAGAUUUGGCCUCGCGGAAAAAAAAAGAAAGAGAGAGAGAGAAUGCCCCCCAGACCUUCUGUCAGAGUCUCCUGGCAAGAAGCCUUCAUCUAAAGGCCCACAGGCAGGGUACACGUCGUCGGGAUGGUGGAAUCAAGGGGAGGUUCCAAAUAGGGAGCUAUCCAAGUUCGUAUCAGGCUAAGUGGUGGGUCUGAGAAUUAAUACAAAAGGAUCUUGAGAGGUGAGAAAUACAGUCCAAAAUAACAAAAAAGUGAUUCAUCUGGGAGAAAGGCAAAUGAAUACAUCUGGGGGGGGUUACAAACACAGAUGUUCGGGAGAAACUUGGAAAGGGCUUAUGGGUGACUGCUUUAUGGGUAAUAUUUUUUCUACAAAAUAAAUGUAAGUGUGUUUUCCAAGGCAA